GGAAGUGUCCUUACUGUUAGAGAGGUAGAGAAUAGGAGGUAUCCUUACUGUAAGAGAGGUAGAGAAUAGGAGUUAUCCUUACUGUAAGAGAGGUAGAGAAUAGGAGGUAUCCUUACUGUAAGAGAGGUAGAGAAUAGGAGGUAUCCUUACUGUUAGAGAGGUAGAGAAUAGGAGUUAUCCUUACUGUUAGAGAGGUAGAGAAUAGGAGGUAUCCUUACUGUAAGAGAGGUAGAGAAUAGGAAGUGUCCUUACUGUUAGAGAGGUAGAGAAUAGGAAGUGUCCUUACUGUUAGAGAGGUAGAGAAUAGGAAGUAUCCUUAAUGAAGGACCUACUGUUAGAGAGGUAGAGAAUAGGAGGUAUCCUUAAUGAAGGACCUACUGUUAGAGAGGUAGAGAAUAGGAGGUAUCCUUAAUGAAGGACCUACUGUUAGAGAGGUAGAGAAUAGGAGUUAUCCUUAAUGAAGGACCUACUGUUAGAGAACUACUUCCCAGCUACAAACACAAACAUGGAUAUUAUUCAGCAGAAGAGACUCAUAUUUUCUUCCUCAAGUGUGCUCUUCCUUCACUCCCCCAUGUUUCUUACUCCUGUCCAUGGUGUGGAGUCAACAAGUACACACUUCUAAGGUAGAGAAUUGGGACUCAUCAAAAGGCCUUCUAUAAGAUCCUGGAUCAACCUAAC
Molecule: long non-coding RNA, 678 nt
Organism: Oncorhynchus tshawytscha (Chinook salmon)
Lineage: Eukaryota; Metazoa; Chordata; Actinopteri; Salmoniformes; Salmonidae
Source: Ensembl